AUGCAUAAUCACAUUCCAACUUUUAUUGUUCAUUUUGUAUCUAUCUCAAUCCCUCUCUACCACUCGCAAACUCUAAAUAUUAGAGUUCUAUUUUCUUAAGUAUAUCACCUAUAUAGUAAUAAAGCCCUGCCCUAUUUUAAGUGUUUUAACCCUUGAUCACUGAUACCCUGUCCGACUGACGUAGGACCCCGUAACGUAUGUCAAGGCUCUGCCUAAAUUCGUUGGGGUUCUGUCUCGUGACGUAGGGAUAAAGUAGAUUGGGUCACUAUACUUAAUGUGAGUGCAUUAUAUAUUUUAUUAAAUAAUCCAGGAGUUGUACCCAAAAUAUAACAACCCUCCCGAAUAUUUUUCUGACACCCUACACUUCCUAAGAUACACCCCGUAUGUGAAAACCGAGCCCGAAAUACAAUAUAUUAUUAAAAAUAAUUAAAAACAAGAAAAUAUAAGUUUAGGCGGGCCGCGUAAAGAUCCUCGAUUAGUUAACGCGGGCCGCGAGAGGUUAGAAAGGUGGCGCAGCCCUGGGCCGCCACGUGGCAUAACACCCGUCAAGCCUACACAUCAACUCAGCAUAGCUAUACGUUGACUUUGGGUCAACGCGGGCCGCGUAAGACCUGCUCUCAUUUGACACGGGCCGCGAGAGAGUCCAGUAUCAGCACUAUAUAAAGGAGCCAUCGGGUUCAACUAGAAUUCGUUCAUUCUUCGAUUCUCAAUCUCAAAUUCUGAUAGUAGAGUUAUUAUACCCCUAAUUAGCGAAGCUCUGCCUCGUUAUUAUAACCAGGGAAUCACAAAGGAAAGCCCUAUAAUAGCAAUGUAACUUAGUAUGAAGCCAAUAAAAGCCAGCUGGAGAGCACUGAAGGCUUGGAAAAGUGGCUAUAAAGUUACCUAAAAUAAAAUAGAUGUUUUUAUUAAAUAAAAUAGGAUUUAUUCCUAUGAAAAUGUAUGUACUGCAAAACUUGGGUUUUAUCCCAUGUGUUUAAUAUUAUGAAAAUAUGGUGGUUUUACUCUGAUAGAAU
This 1013-nucleotide long non-coding RNA is filed under the name Helianthus annuus (common sunflower). Lineage: Eukaryota; Viridiplantae; Streptophyta; Magnoliopsida; Asterales; Asteraceae. The record is from RNAcentral.